This 452-nucleotide ribosomal RNA is filed under the name Veillonella parvula. RNAcentral describes it as "bacterial SSU rRNA". It matches the Rfam family "Bacterial small subunit ribosomal RNA", at positions 28 to 457 of the family's 1533-position model. Lineage: Bacteria; Bacillati; Bacillota; Negativicutes; Veillonellales; Veillonellaceae. The record is from RNAcentral.
GACGAACGCUGGCGGCGUGCUUAACACAUGCAAGUCGAACGAAGAGCGAUGGAAGCUUGCUUCUAUCAAUCUUAGUGGCGAACGGGUGAGUAACGCGUAAUCAACCUGCCCUUCAGAGGGGGACAACAGUUGGAAACGACUGCUAAUACCGCAUACGAUCUAAUCUCGGCAUCGAGGAUAGAUGAAAGGUGGCCUCUACAUGUAAGCUAUCACUGAAGGAGGGGAUUGCGUCUGAUUAGCUAGUUGGAGGGGUAACGGCCCACCAAGGCGACGAUCAGUAGCCGGUCUGAGAGGAUGAACGGCCACAUUGGGACUGAGACACGGCCCAGACUCCUACGGGAGGCAGCAGUGGGGAAUCUUCCGCAAUGGACGAAAGUCUGACGGAGCAACGCCGCGUGAGUGAUGACGGCCUUCGGGUUGUAAAGCUCUGUUAAUCGGGACGAAAGGCCUUC